Molecule: ribosomal RNA, 254 nt
Filed under: uncultured bacterium
Lineage: Bacteria
Description: partial 16S ribosomal RNA
Rfam family: Bacterial small subunit ribosomal RNA
Source: RNAcentral
UACGGGGGGAGCAAGCGUUGUUCGGAUUUACUGGGCGUAAAGGGCGCGUAGGCGGUCGUGACAAGUCACUUGUGAAAUCUCCGGGCUUAACUCGGAACGGUCAAGUGAUACUGUCGGACUAGAGUACAGAAGGGGCAACUGGAAUUCUCGGUGUAGCGGUGAAAUGCGUAGAUAUCGAGAGGAACACCUGCGGCGAAGGCGGGUUGCUGGGCUAAUACUGACGCUGAGGCGCGAAAGCCAGGGGAGCGAACGGG